This is a long non-coding RNA of Nilaparvata lugens (brown planthopper), 4403 nucleotides long. RefSeq lists it as uncharacterized. The record is from RefSeq and is a predicted model, not a curated record. NCBI's taxonomy places the organism in Eukaryota, Metazoa, Arthropoda, Insecta, Hemiptera, Delphacidae. The transcript is spliced from 2 exons.
UAAUCUAUAAGGCCCCCCCCCUUUUUAGGAUUCUUCCCAAAAUGAAUUAAUUAAAACCCCUUAUAAUUCUCCCCAGAAUUAUAAUUUUAACCUCAUAAUCUCAAUAUUCAUGUAUAUUCAAAUCAAUUAUUUACAUAUAAGCAAUUUUCCCUAAAAAAGAAAAAUUUUAAGAAUAAUACAGCUAAAUCUUUUUCUAUUCUAAAUUUAAUAGUAUUUCCUAUAAUAUUAAUUUUUUGAAUAUAAAUCCCUUAGAAAACACAUUCACCUUUAAAUUUGCAAUUUAAAAUCAUAUUUGAAUAUAAGGUUUAGAAAAACUAAGGAUUUAAGUUAUCUAAACUAUUAACCUUCAAAGUUGAAAAUAUUCCUUAGGUUUAAGCCUUAGAUUAAGUUUAAUAGGAGGAAAUUAACCCUUAAAUAAAUUUACAAUUUAUUACCUAAAUCAGACACCCUAUUUAGAUUUUAGUUAAUGAAAAAAUGGCUAAUAUCUACUAAUCAUAAAGACAUUGGAACCCUUUACUUUAUCCUAGGUAUUUGGUCAGGAUUUAUAGGAACCAUAAGUAGUAUAAUUAUCCGAUCAGAAUUAACUCAACCAGGAUCUCUAAUUAAAAAUGAUCAAAUCUAUAAUGUUUUAAUUACAUCACAUGCUUUUAUUAUAAUUUUCUUUAUAGUAAUACCAAUUCUAAUUGGAGGUUUUGGUAAUUGAUUAGUACCCUUAAUAAUUGGUGCACCAGAUAUAGCCUUCCCACGAAUAAAUAAUAUAAGAUUCUGACUUUUACCCCCAUCUUUAAUUUUAUUAAUUUCAAGAUCACUCACUGGAACUGGUUCUGGAACAGGUUGAACCGUUUAUCCCCCCCUUUCUAGAGUAACAUCCCAUUCCGGACCAUCUGUAGAUUUAACCAUUUUUUCUCUUCACAUCGCAGGGGUUAGAUCAAUUAUAGGUGCAAUUAAUUUUAUUUCAACAAUUUUAAACAUGCGAUCAAAAAAUAUUUCAAUAGAAAAAUUACCUCUAUUCUGUUGAUCUGUAUUAAUUACAGCUAUUUUACUCCUUCUAUCCCUUCCUGUUCUAGCUGGAGCAAUUACUAUACUAUUAACUGACCGAAAUCUAAAUACAUCAUUUUUUGACCCCACCGGGGGUGGAGACCCAAUCCUCUACCAGCAUUUAUUCUGAUUCUUUGGUCACCCAGAAGUUUACAUCCUUAUUCUUCCAGGAUUUGGAUUAAUUUCUCAUAUUAUUAUACAAGAAAGAGGAAAAAGGGAAACUUUCGGAUCUAUUGGAAUAAUUUAUGCAAUAAUUGCAAUUGGAAUUUUAGGUUUUAUUGUUUGAGCUCACCAUAUAUUUACUGUAGGUAUAGAUAUUGAUACCCGAGCCUAUUUUACGUCAGCUACUAUAAUUAUUGCGGUCCCCACCGGAAUCAAAAUUUUUAGAUGAAUCGCAACAAUUUACGGUUCCAAAAUGAACUUUUCCCCCCAAAUAAUUUGAUCAUUAGGAUUCAUUUUACUUUUUACUAUUGGAGGAUUAACAGGUGUAAUAUUAUCAAAUUCCUCAAUUGAUAUUAUUCUACAUGAUACCUAUUAUGUAGUGGCUCAUUUUCACUAUGUCCUUUCCAUGGGAGCAGUAUUCACCAUUAUCGCUAGAUUUAUCCAUUGAUACCCCUUAUUUACAGGUAGAAACAUAAAUAAUAAAUGACUAAAAAUUCAAUUUUAUUCCAUAUUUCUAGGAGUAAAUUUAACAUUUUUUCCCCAACAUUUUUUAGGAUUAACUGGUAUACCACGACGAUACUCUGACUAUCCAGAUAUAUACACCCUGUGAAACCUUUUUUCUUCUAUGGGUUCAUUCAUUUCCUUAAUUAGAAUUUUAAUAUUAAUGUUUAUUAUAUGAGAAAGAUUAAGAUUUAAACGAAAAAUGGUGUUUAAAACAAAUCAACCUCAAUCAAUUGAAUGAAAAAUAAAUUUACCCCCUAGAGAACACUCCUUUAAUGAAAUUCCUAUAUUAAUUAAGUUCUAAUAUGGCAGAAUAGUGUAAUGAAUUUAAAAUUCAUUUAUGAAACCAUAAAUUUCUUUUAGAAAUUUCAUGAACUAAAUUAUAUUUACCUGACGCCUAUAGCCCCACUAUAGAGCAAUUAACUUUUUUUCAUGACCACACCAUGUCUAUUAUUAUUUCAAUUACAACCAUAAUUGUAUUUUUAUUAAAUUCACUAAUUUAUAAUAAACUUAUUGACUUAAAUAUUAAUGAAAAUCAAGUUAUUGAAACUUGAUGAACUAUUCUACCAACAAUUAUUCUUUUCUUCGUUGCAAUUCCUUCACUUAAAAUUCUAUAUUCUAUAGAAGAACUAAUUAAUCCAACAAUUUCAAUUAAAUCUAUAGGUCAUCAAUGAUACUGAUCUUAUGAAUAUUCUGAUAAACUAAAAAAAGAAUUUGAUUCUUACAUAAAAUAUUCUAAAAUUAGUGACUUUCGACUAAUUGAAGUUGAUAACCGAAUAAAGGCCCCCUUCCUUACCCAACUACGAAUGAUUUUUUCAUCCUCAGAUGUAUUACAUUCCUGAACAAUUCCUAGUUUAGGAGUAAAAAUAGAUGCAAUUCCAGGACGACUAAACCAAUCAAGCAUAUUAAUUAAAAAACCCGGAUUAUUUACUGGUCAAUGCUCCGAAAUCUGUGGAACAAAUCAUAGAUUUAUACCUAUUAUACUUGAAUCUGUCAAACUAGAAAAAUUUGUAAAAUGAAUAAAAUAAAGUAAAUUAGUCAUUAAGUGACUGAAAUUAAGUAAUGGUCUCUUAAACCAAAUUAUAGUAAACUAAAGAAUACUCUUAAUGAGAGAAUUUAGUUUAAAUUAAAACCUUAAUUUGUCAAAUUAAAAUUACUCCAUUAGUAUUUCUUUAUUCCACAAAUGUCCCCAUGUAGAUGAAUAUCAAUCUUAUUUAUAACUAAUCUAACACUUAAAUUAAUUAAAAUAAACUUAUUUUUUGAAAAAAAAUAAUAAGAAAUCUAUUUUCAUCUUUUGACCCCAGUACACCUUCUCCAUUAUGAACAAACUGAAUUUCUUUAAUAUUAAUUUUACUAUUUAUACCAAAUAAAUUCUGAAUAUCAGAAUCUCGAAAUUCUAUAACUAAAUUAAUUUUAAAAAAUUUCAUUUUAAAAGAAAUAAGUUUCAUUUAUUUUAAUAAGCAAUUUAUAUUAAAUUUACAAACAAUUUUUAUCUUUAUCUUAACCAUCAACUUAAUAGGAAUCUCUCCAUAUACAUUUACCCCUACUAGACACCUUUCAGUAUCAAUUGCAAUUGGAUUACCCAUUUGAAUUUCUUUAAUGACAUAUAGAUGAUUGAACUUCACCAACCUAAUAUUUAGACAUCUUUUACCUAUAAGAACCCCCCCCACAAUAGCCCCAUUUAUAAUUAUAGUUGAAUCAAUUAGAAAUCUAAUUCGACCAAUUUCAUUAAGUGUACGACUUUCUGCUAAUAUAAUUGCAGGUCAUCUAUUAAUAACUCUUUUAGGUAAUAUCAAUGAAAUAAAAACUAUCAUACUAAUUGGAUUAAUACAAUUUUUUUUAAUAUUAUUUGAAAUUUCAGUUGCCCUUAUUCAAGCUUAUGUAUUUUCUAUUUUAAUAACUAUAUAUUCUUCAGAAGUUCCAUAUGAAAAAAAAUCAUCCGUUCCAUUUAGUAACUAAAAGACCUUGACCUAUUCUAGUUUCAUUUUCAAUAUUAAAUUUUUUAAUUGGAUUCAUUAACUUAAUAAAUGAAAGACCUUUAUUAUUUUAUUUAUCUAGAUUAACUAUAAUAAUUAAUCUAACUCAAUGAUGACGUGAUGUAAAACGGGAAUCUUCAAUUAAAGGUGACCAUACAAAAAUUGUUAAGGAAAUAAUUAAAAUAGGAAUGAUUAUAUUUAUUAUAUCAGAAAUUAUAUUUUUCCUAUCUUUCUUCUGAAGAUUCUUACACUCUAGACUUGCCCCUAGUAUCGAAAUUGGGAUAAAAUGGCCACCUAAGGGGGUAACCCCAUUUAAUCCUAUAGAAAUUCCCCUUCUUAACACUAUCAUUUUAGUAAGUUCUGGAGCCUCAAUUACAUGAGCCCAUCAUUCCCUUCUAAGAAAUAAGCUAAACCAAACAAUUAAAAGAAUGAUUAUUACUAUUACAAUAGGAUUAUACUUUUCUAUUCUUCAGUGGUGAGAAUAUAAAAAUGCACCAUUUACAAUUUCAGACUCAAUUUUUGGUUCAUCUUUUUUCAUAACGACUGGAUUCCAUGGAAUCCACGUAAUUAUAGGUACAAUUUUUAUUUUAACAGCCUUAGAAAGAAUUUUAAUAAUAAAAUCCAAUUACUUAAAUCAUAUUAGAUUUGAGCUUUCAGCCUGAUACUGACACUUUGUAGACGUAAUUUGAUUGUUUCUUUAUAUUAUUUUAUAUUGAUGAAAUAAAU